Small nuclear RNA from Monodelphis domestica (gray short-tailed opossum), 126 nucleotides. Its record names the gene U2. It matches the Rfam family "U2 spliceosomal RNA". From Rfam's summary of the family: U2 is a small nuclear RNA (snRNA) component of the spliceosome (involved in pre-mRNA splicing). Complementary binding between U2 snRNA (in an area lying towards the 5' end but 3' to hairpin I) and the branchpoint sequence (BPS) of the intron results the bulging out of an unpaired adenosine, on the BPS, which initiates a nucleophilic attack at the intronic 5' splice site, thus starting the first of two transesterification reactions that mediate splicing. NCBI's taxonomy places the organism in Eukaryota, Metazoa, Chordata, Mammalia, Didelphimorphia, Didelphidae. The record is from Ensembl.
AUUGUUUCUUGGCCUUUUGGCUAAGAUCAAGUGUAGAAAUAUUGUUAAAUAAUUACUUGUAAGAUCUCGGAGAAACUAGAGAAGGUAUUUAUUGUACCUGGGAGUUUCCCAUUCCUGGAACUCUCU